Molecule: transfer RNA, 72 nt
Filed under: Toxocara canis (dog roundworm)
Lineage: Eukaryota; Metazoa; Nematoda; Chromadorea; Rhabditida; Toxocaridae
Rfam family: tRNA
About the family: Transfer RNA (tRNA) molecules are approximately 80 nucleotides in length. Their secondary structure includes four short double-helical elements and three loops (D, anti-codon, and T loops).
Source: Rfam by way of RNAcentral
GGGGCAGUAGCGCAGUGGUAGAGCUUCCGCCUCGUGUGCGGGAGGACUUGGGUCCGGUCCCCGGCUGCUUCC